Molecule: long non-coding RNA, 1815 nt
Organism: Lolium rigidum
Lineage: Eukaryota; Viridiplantae; Streptophyta; Magnoliopsida; Poales; Poaceae
Exons: 3
Source: RefSeq, a predicted model, not a curated record
GGAGAAGGACAUCGAUCGAUGUAGAGCAUGGCGAGGCUGAAUAGUUGUUGUAUUUGAGAAAGUCUGAUCGGUAGUUGUAUGCAUGAACAUCCAUUAGCACCUGUUGUUGGAGCUGCAGAAGGCCUUCUCCCCUACAGUUGAAGGUCAAGAGUAAAAGAGACUGAGAAAGAAUUAAACACUGUUGUUUCAAGUUCUCCUUUGCUUUCAGGUGUUCUUUCCGAGGCGGAUGAUCUGCGAUGGCAGUCGAUCGUAGCACUGGUGAUGCUGCAUUGGACGGUUUACUGCUAAGGUUAUCUAUUGUGCAGGCCAGUGGUUUUACACCUCUUUCAGCUUUGUUUGGUUUCUUAUUUUGGUCGUUCCAUGUUUCUUUUUUAUUUUCCUGUCCGGUUUUGUGUAGUUGCCUCAGUUUUGUAUGGAGAUCCUUCCCGUGUUCAAUUUUUCCUCUUUUGUUGAUGAGCAUGGUUCUUCGCCUGGCUUGCCUCCAAUGGGCGUGAAUAUUCCGAUGUAUUCCCACCGGUGGGGUUCUUGGACUCCUGUACCGUCGGACUGUUCUUUUGUUCCUGACCACCUAUAAAUAUCGCUAAUUCUCUGAACAUGUUUCUUAUACACGAAGAUAUUUAUCUGCGUCAGUGAACCAUUUAACACUUUCCCUAAAAGUCGGAGACAGCUAGCCCUUGCUUGCAAUUAUCAUUGGAUCUUUGGCGGUUUAUUUUGUGAUUGCAUACCAUUGUGCUGGAACUUUGAUGAUAGUCUUAAGAUAACUACCCCUUAGUUGCACUAUUGACAGUUCCUUUUACUGUCAUCUACCUGUUAGUUUUUACUGGGCUACUUUUUGCGUGUUUUUCUUUUUAAGGCAUAACAUGUUCUUAACUGAGCCAUCUUCCUGGCUUUAACUUCAGAAGAUGUGCUCGAGUCUGUGUACCAGGAAAUAUAGGUUAAUUUUUUCACGCAAAUGGCAAUAGGAUGACACAUGAUCUCAAUAAUCAAAUAGAUAGCACUAGAGAUAAUUCCACCAUUUGCUUACACCACAAUGUGCACCCCUUCUUUCAGAGAAAAUAUUAUUGAAUGGUUUUGUAGUUUUUCUGCCCAAAGUAUGCACGGCUACCGUCUCAUGAUUGCUUAAUUUCCUACUGAUUAUGUCGAUAUGUAAUUUACCUUAAAAAGGACAUUCUGAUUUGUACUGUUGCACUAUUUACCGUAACUUUUGUUUAACCUUAAUUUUUUCUGUUUAUGUGAGUCUGUAAUUUACCUUAAAUACUAAUAUGGGCCUCUUCUCUUUUGGAAACAUUAUUGAAUGGGUUUAUAGUUGUUCUGCCCAAACUAAGCAUGUAAUUUACCUUCAAAAGGAGAUUCUGAUUUGUAUUGUUGCACUAUAUACCUUAUUUUUUGUCUUACCUUUUCAGAAGUUCACUUCAGAUGAUAAUAUUGACAUAUCUACCUUCACAAAUGAGCUUCGCCAAAUUCAUUCGGGGUUCCCAAAAAUCCAAACAAGCUGUUGGAAAGGAGAAAUCACAAAUCACAACAAAAUUUAUGGGGCCUGACCGGUUAUCUCAUAUGAGAAUAAAGCGGUGCCAUACUGAGGUUUAUGUUUGUUAUGGCAAUGCUAAGACUACAGGCUUCCAUGUUGCUCAUAUUAACAUUUCAGCUUGCGUGCAAUCAGUAUUCUGUGCUGGAGUCUUUUGUAAUGACAAACUUUGUUUGUACAAACGUCGUGCCAUAAUUAUCGUGUAUCCCUCUUAUCUAGAGACCUCAACUUCCUCCAAGUAAGGAUUCUUCAUAAGUUAAAUAAUAUAGUAGAGACUUGCAAGGCUGUUU